GCUCAACCGUGGAGGGUCAUUGGAAACUGGGAGGCUUGAGUGCAGAAGAGGAGAGCGGAAUUCCACGUGUAGCGGUGAAAUGCGUAGAGAUGUGGAGGAACACCAGUGGCGAAGGCGGCUCUCUGGUCUGUAACUGACGCUGAGGCGCGAAAGCGUGGGUAGCGAACAGGAUUAGAUACCCUGGUAGUCCACGCCGUAAACGAUGAGUGCUAAGUGUUAGGGGGUUUCCGCCCCUUAGUGCUGCAGCAAACGCAUUAAGCACUCCGCCUGGGGAGUACGGCCGCAAGGCUGAAACUCAAAGGAAUUGACGGGGGCCCGCACAAGCGGUGGAGCAUGUGGUUUAAUUCGAAGCAACGCGAAGAACCUUACCAGGUCUUGACAUCCCGCUGGCCGGUCUGGAGACAGAUCUUUCCCUUCGGGGACAGCGGUGACAGGUGGUGCAUGGUUGUCGUCAGCUCGUGUCGUGAGAUGUUGGGUUAAGUCCCGCAACGAGCGCAACCCUUGAUCUUAGUUGCCAGCAUUCAGUUGGGCACUCUAAGGUGACUGCCGGUGACAAACCGGAGGAAGGUGGGGAUGACGUCAAAUCAUCAUGCCCCUUAUGACCUGGGCUACACACGUGCUACAAUGGAUGGUACAGAG
This 639-nucleotide ribosomal RNA is filed under the name uncultured bacterium. Its description in RNAcentral is "bacterial SSU rRNA". It matches the Rfam family "Bacterial small subunit ribosomal RNA", at positions 607 to 1244 of the family's 1533-position model. The record is from RNAcentral.